UACGAAGGGGGCUAGCGUUGCUCGGAAUCACUGGGCGUAAAGAGCUCGUAGGUGGUUUGUCGCGUUGUUCGUGAAAACUCACAGCUCAACUGUGGGCGUGCGGGCGAUACGGGCAGACUUGAGUACUGCAGGGGAGACUGGAAUUCCUGGUGUAGCGGUGGAAUGCGCAGAUAUCAGGAGGAACACCGGUGGCGAAGGCGGGUCUCUGGGCAGUAACUGACGCUGAGGAGCGAAAGCGUGGGGAGCGAACAGG
This 253-nucleotide ribosomal RNA is filed under the name uncultured bacterium. Its description in RNAcentral is "partial 16S ribosomal RNA". It matches the Rfam family "Bacterial small subunit ribosomal RNA", at positions 524 to 776 of the family's 1533-position model. The record is from RNAcentral.